CCAAUAGCGUAUAUUAAAGUUGUUGCAGUUAAAAAGCUCGUAGUUGAAUUUCGGGAUUGACAUGUUGGUCGUGCCUUAAGGGGUAUGAACUGACAUUGUUGAUUUCUCACCUUCUGGAGAAUCACGAUGCUCUUAAUUGGGUGUCGUGUGGAUCCAGGACCUUUACCUUGAAAAAAUUAGAGUGUUUAAAGCAGGCAUUUUUGCUCGAAUACAUUAGCAUGGAAUAAUAAAAUAGGACGGCUUGGUUCUAUUUUGUUGGUUUCUAGGAUCACCGUAAUGAUUAAUAGGGAUAGUUGGGGGCAUUAGUAUUCAAUUGUCAGAGGUGAAAUUCUUGGAUUUAUUGAAGACUAACUACUGCGAAAGCAUUUGCCAAGGAUGUUUUCAUUAAUCAAGAACGAAAGUUAGGGGAUCGAAGACGAUCAGAUACCGUCGUAGUCUUAACCAUAAACUAUGCCGACUAGGGAUCGGAUGAUGUUAUUUUUAAUGACUCAUUCGGCGCCUUACG
Molecule: ribosomal RNA, 505 nt
Filed under: uncultured Glomeromycotina
Lineage: Eukaryota; Fungi; Glomeromycota
Description: SSU rRNA
Rfam family: Eukaryotic small subunit ribosomal RNA
Source: RNAcentral